GACCCUACGGGGGGCAGCAGUGGGGAAUAUUGCACAAUGGGGGAAACCCUGAUGAAGCGACGCCGCGUGAGUGAAGAAGUAAUUCGUUAUGUAAGCUCUAUCAGCAGGGAAGAAAAUGACGGUACCUGAGUAAGAAGCACCGGCUAACUACGUGCCAGCAGCCGCGGUAAUACGUAGGGGGCAAGCGGUAUCCGGAGUUACUGGGUGUAAAGGGAGCGUAGACGGCAGUGCAAGUCUGGAGUG
RNAcentral lists this ribosomal RNA (243 nucleotides) under uncultured bacterium. RNAcentral describes it as "partial 16S ribosomal RNA". It matches the Rfam family "Bacterial small subunit ribosomal RNA", at positions 334 to 596 of the family's 1533-position model. The record is from RNAcentral.